This is a long non-coding RNA of Bos taurus (domestic cattle), 1197 nucleotides long. The record is from Ensembl. Lineage: Eukaryota; Metazoa; Chordata; Mammalia; Artiodactyla; Bovidae.
GCUUAAGGCUUCCUGACAUCAGAGCUAGGUGAUCUAGGGGCAUCCCCUGGGCAGCAGUCAUAACAAUCUGAACUCCAAAGGAGUGUAUAGGCUCCUGUCUGGGAGAUAUUAGCAAGCUGUAGGGAUGCAGAGGGAAAGUGUAAAUACACAGGCUUACCUUAUCAGGUGGCCUCUAGGUGUGUGGAAGCCCGCCCCACAUCCAGAAGCUCCAGGACAGAAAGCCUGGGGGUGCGAUUCAGUCCAAUGUCCAUGCAGUGCCCCAGGGUGGCCACCUGCCAGGGAUCCAGCCCUCCAGGCCACCAGAGCCAGGCCAUCAAGGUGUGUCCCCUGAGCAGCUGUCACAGAGACCACGGCACCAGGCUUUUACAAAUGCUCCCCGUUGGGAGGUCCUGGCGCUCUGGAGACAGCGCCCAUCCUCCAAGGUCUUCAGACAGGGUGAAACUCAGCCCUGAGAUGUGUGUUUAAUUAGAAGCCUGCCCUUCAGGCAUGAAGCUCAGUGGAUUAGCUAAUAGGCCACUGUCACAGAAAGCCUAAACACAGGGCCUGUGGCCCUCUGGCCGUGCCCUGGAGGUGGCAGCCGUCCAUUUAAUAACUCUUUCACUGUGAGUGACCGUCCUGUGGGACCCAAGCAUGGAAGCCCCGUAGUCAUCAGAGCCAAGAGAUAUUCAGGAGUCUCAGGGCAGCAGUUGCUGGUAACCCCACCCCGCUGCAUGCAGAAGCUUUGGCGGAGGAGCACACUGCAGAAGGAGGACCGUGGUGGGAGCUAGAGCAUCUGGCUGGAGUCCACCGUCCACCAUUAAGAUGGCGUCCAGCCGCCAGAGUACCACACGAGCAUAAAGAUGGUGCCUGCCAGUGUUCGACCCACAGAACACUUCCGCCUGCCUCCAAAUGUCUGUCAAAUCAGAACCUGUCCUCCAGUUCGAUGCUCCAAGACCAGCAAAUGAGCCUCUCCCACAAAGUCCAUCCGCCGCUUGGCGCUGGUCCUGAGGCAGCUGAUUUCUUAGACAUCUUGGAACAUCAGUUCUCAACUAAGAGAGCCUGAAUAGGCCUUGGAGAAAACUUCAUCCAAACCCUGAUUUUACAAGUGAGAACCUGAGGCCCAGAGAGAUGAGUGAUGGUACCAGCCUAAGGGACUCACAUGUGACUUUUCUGCCAGCAAAUGAUGCACUGAACCAUGUCAUUUGGAUGAAAUAACAG